Molecule: long non-coding RNA, 317 nt
Organism: Medicago truncatula (barrel medic)
Lineage: Eukaryota; Viridiplantae; Streptophyta; Magnoliopsida; Fabales; Fabaceae
Exons: 2
Source: RefSeq, a predicted model, not a curated record
UGAAGCCUACUGGAGGCGUGGCUAAGGAUGGUAAGUGCUUCUAUUGCAACAACACUGGGCAUUGGAAGCGAAACUGUCCAAAGUAUCUGAAAGAUAAGAAGAAUGGAAAUGUUCCUACUACUUCUGCAGGGUCUGAGAAAGAGUAGAGCAUUGGCAAAAGGCGAGGUCGAUCUUAGAGUUGGCAAUGGAGCAAAGGUUGCUGCUUUAGCUGUUGGAACUUAUGUAUUGACCUUACCUAGUGGUCUUUUACUUAAUUUAGAAAACUGCUAUUAUGUACCUGCCAUUAGCAGGAAUAUUAUUUCAAUUUCUUGUUUGGA